CUCCUUCCAUUCUACUCAUACAAAUAUUUUUCCAAGAAACCAUAUAAACUCCCCUUGUAUAGCCCACCCAUCCUUUCCGAAAGAAAUCCAUUCGCAACGCCUCCAUAUGCUUUAAAACCCAUUUCAGUGCUUUAAAUAUAGAGAAAAAAAUGUAUCGGUAGGUUAGAGAGAACUGAAUUAAUCAGUGUUAAUCUACCUCCUCUGGAGAGGAGUUUAGCUUGUCAGCCGUCAAUUCUCCUUUGGAAGUUAUUAUUGACA
RNAcentral lists this long non-coding RNA (258 nucleotides) under Ananas comosus (pineapple). RNAcentral's name for it is "long non-coding RNA (ACOM_LNC022485)". The record is from RNAcentral. Lineage: Eukaryota; Viridiplantae; Streptophyta; Magnoliopsida; Poales; Bromeliaceae.